RNAcentral lists this ribosomal RNA (301 nucleotides) under uncultured bacterium. Its description in RNAcentral is "partial 16S ribosomal RNA". It matches the Rfam family "Bacterial small subunit ribosomal RNA", at positions 509 to 807 of the family's 1533-position model. The record is from RNAcentral.
CAGCCGCCGCGGUAAUACGGAGGGUGCAAGCGUUACUCGGAAUUACUGGGCGUAAAGCGUGCGUAGGUGGUGGUUUAAGACCGUUGUGAAAGCCCUGGGCUCAACCUGGGAAUUGCAGUGGAUACUGGGUCACUAGAGUGUGGUAGAGGAUAGUGGAAUUUCCGGUGUAGCAGUGAAAUGCGUAGAGAUCGGAAGGAACAUCUGUGGCGAAGGCGACUAUCUGGGCCAACACUGACACUGAGGCACGAAAGCGUGGGGAGCAAACAGGAUUAGAUACCCCCGUAGUCCCUGUCUCUUAUAC